GACGAGGGAUCCAAGCGUUGUUCGGAAUCAUUGGGCGUAAAGCGGGUGUAGGCGGCUUUAUAAGUCAGAUGUGAAAGCCCUGGGCUCAACCCGGGAAGUGCAUUUGAUACUGUAGAGCUUGAGUGUGGGAGAGGCUAGUGGAAUUCCUGGUGUAGUGGUGAAAUACGUAGAUAUCAGGAGGAACAUCGGUGGCGAAGGCGGCUAGCUGGCCCAACACUGACGCUGAGAUCCGAAAGCGUGGGGAUCAAAC
Molecule: ribosomal RNA, 250 nt
Filed under: uncultured bacterium
Lineage: Bacteria
Description: partial 16S ribosomal RNA
Rfam family: Bacterial small subunit ribosomal RNA
Source: RNAcentral